CGGUGGGGUAGAGGCGCGGUAUUUAAGAGUAGGCUGUGUGAGGAUGACAACGAAGAUCACAGAUGAAAGGGAAUACUGCCGAAGCAAAUAAACUUGUCGAUCGUUUAUUGUGCUGGGGUUACUCUGAAUAAGAGUAAAACUGUCAUUUUGAGGGAUACCUUCAUAAUGAGGAGCUACAGAUCGU
RNAcentral lists this non-coding RNA (184 nucleotides) under Bacillus sp. (in: firmicutes). Its description in RNAcentral is "Bacillus sp. Lysine sequence". It matches the Rfam family "Lysine riboswitch aptamer". Rfam says of the family: Riboswitches are metabolite binding domains within certain messenger RNAs that serve as precision sensors for their corresponding targets. The record is from RNAcentral. Lineage: Bacteria; Bacillati; Bacillota; Bacilli; Caryophanales; Bacillaceae. RNAcentral also lists the same sequence under 1 other name.